UAAGACAGAGGGUGCAAACGUUGUUCGGAAUUACUGGGCGUAAAGCGCGUGUAGGCGGCACGGCAAGUCGGAUGUGAAAGCCCGCGGCUCAACCGUGGAAGUGCACUCGAAACUGCCGAGCUAGAGUCUCGGAGAGGAAGGUGGAAUGCUUGGUGUAGAGGUGAAAUUCGUAGAUAUCAAGCAGAACACCUGUGGCGAAGGCGGCCUUCUGGACGAUGACUGACGCUGAGACGCGAAAGCGUGGGGAGCAAACAGGAUUAGAUACCCUGGUAGUCCACGCCGUAAACGAUGAGUGCUAGGUAUCACAGGCUUUGACCCCUGUGGUGCCGCAGCUAACGCGAUAAGCACUCCGCCUGGGAAGUACGGCCGCAAGGCUA
RNAcentral lists this ribosomal RNA (377 nucleotides) under uncultured bacterium. RNAcentral describes it as "bacterial SSU rRNA". It matches the Rfam family "Bacterial small subunit ribosomal RNA", at positions 521 to 896 of the family's 1533-position model. The record is from RNAcentral.